This 253-nucleotide ribosomal RNA is filed under the name uncultured bacterium. RNAcentral describes it as "partial 16S ribosomal RNA". It matches the Rfam family "Bacterial small subunit ribosomal RNA", at positions 524 to 776 of the family's 1533-position model. The record is from RNAcentral.
UACGAAGGGUGCUAGCGUUGCUCGGAAUCACUGGGCGUAAAGCGCACGUAGGCGGCUUUUUAAGUCAGGGGUGAAAUCCUGGAGCUCAACUCCAGAACUGCCUUUGAUACUGGGAAGCUUGAGUCCGGAAGAGGUGAGUGGAACUGCGAGUGUAGAGGUGAAAUUCGUAGAUAUUCGCAAGAACACCAGUGGCGAAGGCGGCUCACUGGCCCGAUACUGACGCUGAGGCACGAAAGCGUGGGGAGCAAACAGG